Long non-coding RNA from Gallus gallus (chicken), 523 nucleotides. RefSeq lists it as uncharacterized. The record is from RefSeq and is a predicted model, not a curated record. The transcript is spliced from 3 exons. NCBI's taxonomy places the organism in Eukaryota, Metazoa, Chordata, Aves, Galliformes, Phasianidae.
GGCGUGGAACGGGUGGGCUGCGGGGACGAGAAAGGGCUGAUCUUCUAGACGGGGCUCACAGAAAGUGAGGGGAGAGAGUUUUCGGAGUGCCGGGGCGGUGGCCGGACCGUGAGCCUUUCCUCGUGGAAUCCUUCUCCCGCCGAGGUUACCACAAACAGCAGGGAUCGAAAGCGACUAAGGCAGCGUGUGCUGCGAGGAUAUUGAUCUGAAAGCAUGUCCAGAAGCUUUGGAUAACUCCUAACCUUGUCCAAACCAAGGAAAUAAACAGUUGAAACUGCAAGAGGAGGAGGAGGAGAAAGAAGGUAUAUAUCAGGGUAACUGAAACAACUAGAUUUCCUUGGAGGACUGUUUCCAGCUUGUUGUCACAGACAAAAAACAUGCUAGAGGUAAAUAUGGGAAACACCUGUUUGAUGGAUUGGAUUGCAGUCAGUGGUUAUUGAACGAUAAUUUACUGUUACAUCUAAUUAAAAGCAGACCAUUUGUGAGCAAAUCAAUACAAUAAAACUUACCUGAAGAAUUUAAA